Molecule: long non-coding RNA, 812 nt
Organism: Mus musculus (house mouse)
Lineage: Eukaryota; Metazoa; Chordata; Mammalia; Rodentia; Muridae
Product: predicted gene, 35740
Exons: 4
Source: RefSeq, a predicted model, not a curated record
GGAGCUUGGGGGUUCCAGGGUGUUGACAGCCUCAACAGUACCUGGAGCCAGACUCCGUGGUCCGAGGGAGGCACAGACCUGGAAUAAGAACCCAGUGGGCAAAGUUCUCUCUUGUUUCUUCCGUCUCUGUCAUCCUGUCUCUUCUCUUGGCUGUAGACGCUGUGCUCAAUUCCUUAGGGAAGGUGCUCAUCCCUUCUAGAGCUGCUGGGCCUCGGAAGGACAUCGGUUUCUUCCCUGGAGUUGUUGCUAUCGGGCCCCUGGGAGGAAGAGAUGUCUUCACACACAAGCUUGCUGUCAGUAAAGAUUGUUUUCAUGCUGAGAAUUCAAUCAAACCGGAUUCUACUGCAACAGCACAAGCAAGCCCACAAAUAGGCUGUGGAGCAACUAGAAAAAUUCACAUUGACAAGAUAUAAGGCCACCAGACAUGUAGUAUGGGCCGCACCUCUCCUAACUGUGACCAUUAGCAAGUGUGGGUGAGUAUCCUAGUUGGGCAGCAGCUCAAUUUCUUUGUGUUUGAUGACUUGGGUAAGUGGUGUCCUCAGCAACAGAGCCUUACAGUUAGCUGAUGAAUUUACAAAGUUUUUGAAACACAAGAAAUGUGAUGCCUCUGCCUGCUUUAUUAUUUUAUUAUCAUUAGCAGGCACACUUCAGGAAACUAUCUGACUCCAUCACAUGUUACUGUAUCAGGAGUAUAAAUGUAACUACUGCUAAUUUUGUAAUGUGGUUAGAAAGAAGGCUGGAGAAAUCGACUGAACUUGAACCUGAUCCUGAGCAGGGAAACAGAAGAAAAGGGGGUCAAAAGCGUGUGUCGU